UGACAAAAAAAAGAAAUGAAAAUCUAUUUCUAUCUGAACCAAAUCAAACCACCAAACCAAACUCUCUAUUCUCUCUUUUCUCUACUCUUACAAAGCUAUCUGUAAUGUCCCAAGUCUUUUUUACUACCGUACCCUCUAAUUUUAUCAAAAUUCCUAAAUUAUCCUUAUUCCUUCUUCCCAACCCUAACUCUAAUUUUUGUCCAUACUUAACCUCUUCUAACACACACACAGCUGAGAAGGAAAGAAGGGAAAACAGAGAGGGGAAACUGAGGGGGAGAAGAAAGGAAGAAGAGGGGGAAGGAGGACGACGCCGGUUAGGGCCACACUGUUGUUGCUGUCGUCAUGGUGGCUGCGUGAGGAAGACCGUCGCCGUGGCUGAGGGGAGCCCGAGGAGAGAGAAGAGAACGCACGGGGAAGAGAGAGCCAUGACGAAAGAGGAGGGAGGUUUCGUCGCCGUCACUGCCGGAGCCUAGCCGCCGCCGUUGAAGCUAGCUUCGCCGUCAUCAAACCACUGUGCCACCGAGGAGGCCGGAGAGAGAGAGAGAGAGAGAGGGACUUUGCGAAGGGGAAAGGAGAACGUGGCAGAGCUUGUCGCCGGGAAAAGGGGUACCGGUGGUGCAUGUUGUCGCUGCUGCUGUCGUUGCUAGGGAAGGAGGUCACCGUCGAGUUGCACGCGGCUGCUGGCAAAGUUGCCUCUGCUUCCGGUUUAAGCAUCCUACCGGAGCUUAUGUUGCCGUUACUGUUGAAGUGCCUUUAUUCUGUUCUAGCCGCUAUAGGUGUGAUUAUUGCAAUGUUGCUGCGGGAUUAGUCCGAGUUGUUGCCAUCACUGUGUUCUUUCCAUCUAUCCUAUUCCAACCAUCCUCAUCUUUUAAUUUGGCAUUCCGGAUUUGGUCUUUUCGGUCCUUCAGGACCAAGUUAUGCAUCUGGCUCAGACCUCAGCUAGCAGGGGCGUUGCUAGCCUAACGUGUAGGCCACACGUUGGAUCUGUUAUUCCGUACGGACACGCUAGAGGAAAGGGCUACCCUUAGAGGUGGAGCCGCCCAAGUGUGGACUAUUUGAUUUGAUUUCUGUAUGAGAACUCCCUUAUUGAUUCACUUAUUCAUAUAAAUUAUUAUUUUCUAACUAAAAUUAUUUUCAUAAUAAUGUUUAGAUGGUCUCAUGUGAAUUAUAGAUGUACUGUCUAGUCACUGAGUUGCAAAACUCACCCCUUUUUCUUAAAAAAUAUUUUUUCAGAAAAAAGUAUUUGAUUAUGUGAGCCUUUCUAUUCAAGAGUAAUGAUCUGCAAUGGGUUCUAUUCCUUGUUGACUUCUUAGGCAUCAUCUGCUCCAUAUGUCACAGGCAGGAUCCAUUUAUAUUUAUUUAUUUUGUUUUUGUUCAAUUAUGAAAUUAUUCAUUUUAGAAAGUUUAAAUUUGUCAAAAAUUAUUUGUAACAUUUUUAUUUAUCUUAUAUUCGAAUCUGUUAGGCUUGCUAGGGAACUCUUUUUCCUGAGCGCCAGUCAUGGCUCAUUUUGGGCUGUGACACUAUCUGUUGAAUAUUCAGUUUUCUCAAUUUAUCUUUCUUUGUUUCAAUAAAAAAAAAAAAGCAUUAAUGUGAGGAAUUAAGAAAAAGUUAUUGAGUGAAAAAAGACAAAAAAAGUUAGACUUGGAGAAAAGUCAAAUGUUUAUUUCAGAUAUUCUUUGUAUGUUUUUCUGUUUUGUAUUCAAGAUCAUGAGGGGAUUCUCUUAUUAAAUUGGAUGAGCACUUAGUGGUUGCAAAUCUAGAGAGUAAACCUAGUUAAAUCUGGUUUGGAUAGGAAUUGGAUUUAUCCCAGAUAGGAUUGGGUUGAAUUUUAGAAAAAUUAGUGUUUAUAAUCUUUGAAAUAUAGUUGAAAUUCCACCACUAUUGUGGGAAAUACUAGAUAUAAGUCACAUUGCACUUGGCUGAACUAGGAUAUAUGGUAGUGUGAUUUUCUCUUUUCUACUCUCUGAUUUUCUGCCAUAAAAGAUAAAACAAAAUUGUCUCCUGAAAUAUCUGUACCUCUGUAUUCACUGCUAUCCUCAAGCUACAAAGUUGCUCUGUUCCAGAACGUUCGUGUAGAGACAAACUAAAAUUGUCUACUGAAUUUUUACUUAGCAAUCUAAACAGCAACUAUGUUCUCAUUCAAAUCAGAAGUUGAACCAAAAGAAGUCAUAAAUUCAACUCUCUUUUUUAGGUCAUUCACAAACCUUCAAUUGAUAUCAAAGCGCGAUUGACCAAUACUGUUAAUUUAGACAGAGCAUUAAUGAAAACUCUCUUUUGUGACUGUGUCACCCAAGCGAGAUUCUUUGCUCAUUGGUGUGGGUGAAUCGAUAGAGACGAUUACUCGCUAGCCUGAUAGGUGCAAUUGAUGUGGGUGACAUAGUGGGAUAACUAUGAUCAGCUUCACUAUGACUUGCUGGGUAUUUAGAUUGUUAUCAUGGCAGACGUGUAUGGCCAAAUGCCACAAUGAGGGCGUUUUGAGUAUGUGAAAGGGAACCUGAUACUGCCAAGUUUCCCACACUCAAAAGAGGUUGGACACUUUUCACUGCUCUCAGCUAUCACAUGAACUACAAACACAAACUGACACAUAGUCAGAGUUUUCAACAGAAAAAGGGGAGCCAUUUGGAAAGUAGGCAAGAUACUAUGAGGUCAUUUAGUUGCAAGGAUUGUGAUGCAUAUACUUAUUACAUUACCUGGUGUUGGCUAAAAAUAAUUUAAAUUUGAUGAUGAACAAGUCGAAGAUAUUUGUCUGAAUUAUGUUGAAAAAGUACUCAAGGUGAUUGAAGAAAAAUCAUGGAUGAGCAAGCUAGGUUAAUCGAAGAUGUAUAUCGAAAAUGAGGAUAUGUAAUCGAAGUAACCGGGAGACCAGUAAUCGAGAUAGUUGAAGACGGUUAUCACACUAUUGUUGUGGCGAGAACAGUUAUGUUUAGUUCCUUUGUAUGUGGAGCAUGUGAAGGAAUUUUGAUUGGAUGAAAAUGACUAUACAUUGACAUAGCUUUGAAAGAAUAAGAGUUAGAAUUUGUUUUCAAAUAAUAUUCUCGUACAUUCAUAUUUCCAGCGACUUUCUGAGUCUGCAAAGAACUUUCUUUUUUGUAAGAUUCUUUCCAUGUCUUUAAUAUUUCUUUUAAAUUUCUUGUAAUCUUUCUCUUUCUGUAAAUUUACUUUUCUACAAAGUUUUUUCUUUUCUUUCUUUUAACAUUGCUGCAUUUGUAUUUGAAUUU
Arachis stenosperma is the source of this 3219-nucleotide long non-coding RNA. RefSeq lists it as uncharacterized. The record is from RefSeq and is a predicted model, not a curated record. The transcript is spliced from 3 exons. NCBI's taxonomy places the organism in Eukaryota, Viridiplantae, Streptophyta, Magnoliopsida, Fabales, Fabaceae.